CCAGCCUAGCCCAGCCUAGCUUCGUCAUGGUGACUUCCCUUGCAGCACUGCAAAGUGUGACACCGCUGUUUGUUUAGGGCUGUGUCCAAAAGCACAGUCCCACCCUGGCAGCAGUGACAGCUUUCCCCCAGUGCCAGCUCUCUGUGCAGUCCCCAGGGAACAACAGGGACAGAAUCCCCUGGUUCUGCCAUCAGCUGAGCUCCUGGUUAAAUGGGUCAGGCAAGGAAGUACAUUCCCUAAAGGAAUUGCAGUCUCCUAUGCCUCAAAAACUUCAGUCACAGAGGAAAUAUCCUAUUUUGAUGUGGUUCAAGAAGGUGGCAGGGAGAGAAGUAUAAACUUUAUAGCAAGACCAGCUUGACUCAGAAGAGGGACUGUGUGCUACAUAUUCAAGAUUCUGGGGUGAAAAAACCCUAGAGAACAGCAAAGAAACAUUCUCAGUCUACAUGAAGAAAUUGUUAGAAGUGUAUAGAGUGAGACAUUCUGAUAAUCUUUGUAUUAUGUGAAGAAUGAUUCUUUUUAUAAUGCCUUUAUUUCCGCAACAAUGCUACUGUUCCAAUAGCUCUGUCAGAGCUACUGAGUGAUGAGUUAACCCUGCUGCUGCCCUAAGAGAGAAGUGGAAGCUGCAGAGCAAAAGCAAAGAGGGUGGAUAGAUCUUUUCAAGCUGGAGAAACCAUCAGCUUAGUAGAGAGGAAGUGACUGAAAAAAGAGGGUAAGAGAGACCUAAUAACAAUUCCCUGAGGAAAACUGCUGGUCAGAACAAUUAGCUAUGACUCUAGGAAAAGCCACAACUGAACAGAGAACAGAGGAUUUCUUUUAAUUUGGUAUCCAGGAGCACUUUGGAUGGAAACUAAAAGAAUAUUUUCCCUUCCUAAGCGGAUCCUUAAAAGAAGGUGGCCAGGGCUGCCUCCCAGCUCCAGCUCUUCACUCUUCAUUAUGGCACUUUAUGGGAUAACUGGGACAGCAAGUAUGUUGCAGUCAUUAUGCCAGUCACAGCUAUGGUCUGCAAAUGUGACUGCAUGGAAUAUCUGGCUUCUAACACAGGCUGUGAAGGGAUGUCCCUUUUUACCACGGUCAGGGAGGAGCUGACAGGCUCACCAGAGACUUCAAAAAACCUCAGCCUUUCAGUUAGCAAGGAGCUCCGUGCUGUCAUGUACUCAUUUUUCACAUGGGGAAUGCCAUGCAAUAUUGCACAGAGCAGUUAUAAGGCAUUAGCUGCCAUCUCAUUUAUAAAAAAAAAAAAAAAGCUUUUCUCUGCUGCAGUUAACCAGUGAUCAGCUAUGCACAAUACAUGCUUGAUCAUGUCUCAGUGGAAAGUCUUUUUUUUUCAUUUUGCUGUGUUAUAUAUUUAGCUUGUGGGAGGCCAGGCCAGUUAACAGCGUAAUGUACUUUAAAAAUGAAUGUGAUUACUAGUAUUUUUCUCCAUUAAAAUCAGCAGAGAAGUUUACUUAAUUCUUUGUCCUUUAAUCAGAGCAGUAAAGAAUUUCAGCAAUCUGUAAAUCUGGCCAUAUAGAGUUACAAUAUAAGGGAAAUUCACAAUAGUGCCAUUUUUCUUUGAAACUGCUUUAUCUCAGUGAAAGAUAUUUAAGCAAACCCGUCACAACACACACUGCUGUACAAUUGACUGAUGUUCCUGCUAGAAAUUCUUGCCACAGGUUUUGCAGCAGAGGGUAAGGGCAGAACACAAUCGUGUUGAAAAGCUGGUGCUGGUGGCUUUAAAAAUCACUGCUCUUUUUUUAAAACCCCAACUUGAGUCUUUACUAGGCUGUACCAUGAGACACAUACACGCUGUGUUACAUUAAAAUGUUUAAUUAGAAAUAUGAGUUAUGCUUUGCAUAGUAACAAGAAGCCAUCAUAAAAUAAUGUAUACUCUGAUAGUCUCAGACUAUCACAGCAGUCAUGCAUAAGUUCAAAUCCUUUUCAGUGGGACAUUGAUUAAUUCAUCCUUUGAUGAAUCUAGGCCCAGGCAUUCAGCAGCUUCUUCCCUUUCUCAGCAUGGGUUUAGUUAUGUGAAGCCAGAAAUGGCCUUUGUAUGUUUAGACUUUGAGAGCACAUUCAGCUGGAAUCCUGCCUCACACCUAGGGCUAGACCUCUGCAAUAAUGCAACUCUGCUUGUUCCAGCUCUGAACAAAGACAAGCAGGGCUAUGGAGUUAUGUUACUCACUACAAGUUGAGGAAUCAGCUUUCCAUGUGGCUUUAUCCUCCCACCCCUUUUCCCACAGGAAUAACACAAUGUGAGUUAAGCUUGUGCCUUUGCCAUUAUCUUGCUUUAGUGGCUCAGUUCCAACACACAGCCAUGUACCACCUCAUUAUUUAUAUCCUGCUAGCAUCUUAUUUAGUACCUCAGCUUCCAUCAUAAAUGUACUGGGAUAACUGGAUAAGAGACUCAUUAUAAUUGCAGCUUCUCUGCAGGGGUCAGCACCUCCUCCCCAUGAAUAUGAUAAGCUCCAAGUGCCACCUCACCUGCAAAUGGUGUUUUUCCCUGAAGACCCACUUUGCACAGGCUACAAGCUGCUAUUGAAUUUCUGAAGUGAUAUUUUAAUAACUUAAUUUAUGAUUUAACAGCUUUCUUUCGUGUGCUUUGUUGUAUAAUUAAUCCAUGUGAUGGGAACUCAUUAGACUUGGGGAUCUGAGAUGCAUCUGAACACGCAAGGACUGUAAACAGCCAUAAAACCUGUGUUAGGGCCUAUUUAAGGUGGGCAAAUGCAGAGCUGUGUGCAGAAAAAAUAAAUUAUUUUAUCCUUGGGGGUAAUGAGAAACUAUUUUUUGAUAGUUGGAUGUGUCUUUCAAUCAUAUCUGAAGUUUGUUAUAAUAGUAGUGAAAGCAACUAAUUUUUGUCCACUGACAUUUAAAGUGGAAUCCUUGACUUCCUGGGCUGAGAAGAUCUGGCCCAACAUUUCUAAACACAAUCUUACAUGCAUGUGUGCAUGCCCAGGAGCUGUGGGCACUUCCACCUCCUGGAAAUAUACCUCAAGCAGAUACUACAGACACUUUGAGCCUGACAUUGAACAAUCCACCAUGAGAUUUUGUCUCUUUUGCUUGCUUAGUGCUGUGCUGCUGUGUUUAUGACAUGGAAGAGAUGAGACCUGUCACUGCCAUCCUGAAUUGCUGCAAGAACUGAAGCCUUGGUGUCCCACUUCUCCAGAGAACUCUGUAACUUCAAGACUUCCAUGAGGUUUCUUGUUUCCUGCUGGUAGUGCUAUUCUGCUUUGAUAUGAACCAGAGAGCACAAAUGGGUCUGGCCCUAAGCACUGGUUAGAGCAUUUGCUCAAGUUUAAUGUCCAAGACCACGCUCUGGAUUAGGCAGAGCAGAGGUUUGAAAUCCCUUUCCAGGAAAACACAGCUGAGUGAGCUGCCCAUUUACCUGUAAACAUGGGUGUGGGUAUCUCAUUUCUUCACUUUGCAGUGAGAGCUGCAGAACCCAGCUCCAGGGGACAGGCAGUAGCAUGGCUAAGUGCGCACACCAGUCUGCCCCACUACUGAGUAUUUCCCUCUUCUGCACAUCCCUUUCAAGGGUGCGCUGCUUUCUUGACAAGCUGAGGAACAAAAGCAUGGAAAACACAAAGACAAAACAACAGCAUGAAGGGAGUAACACCUGUGGGCAUCUGGGAUAUGUUCCUCACUGUGUGCAGUGCUGAGCUUCCCAGCAGAGCAUCUUUUCCCCACUGGACAUGAGCAACAGCUCUAAUGAAAGCUUUGCAAAGGAGAGUGCUGCCAGCUGCAGCUGGGAGCUGGAUCAUUUGUGUGCAGAGACCUGUUUUCCACAGACAGGAUUUACAUAAGCACUGCACACAGUGUUUCUGUGCUGUCAGGGUGCCUCGAUCCUUUUCUCUCUCGAGGCUUGUCUUCCUCUGUACAAUUUUUGUGGUGAGCCAGGUACACUUGUGUACCUGUUUUGCUCAAUUAAACCUGUUUCAUGGAUGUGAGUCAUCUAUUUCAUGGUCCAGAACAUACUCAUUUCAUUUCCUCUGCCCUCUGGUGAUUGAGUUAAUUAAUAUUUUGCAAACACCUUGAGACCUCAUUGAACUUACUACUGUACAAAGUGCAGGGCUUGUCCCAGGAUGAUUCUUCUGAAUAGGACAGGAAGGAAGAAGCUCAGGAGAAAGGAGAACUUAGAGAACAUAGACAUUUAUAUGGUACUCAAUUCUUAACAGUCCCAGUCCAUUUUUGCUGACUGAUUAAAUAAAAGGAACAUAUUCUGGUUUUGACACAGGGACUGACCACAAUUCUCAGUGACCUGGGGUAAGACAAAUGUGCCUCACUGAUCAUUUGACAUGGGUUUUUAGCAAGCUGCAGACCCUUCCAACAAGAUCUGCCAGAUCUUCCUGACCAAAGGGUGCUUUCAUUGUGGAGUUCAUUUCCACUGGACUUUGGAUCUGGUCUUUGGGAGAGACCUAUGUGGUGCCUGGCCCUGGCACACAGCCAGCAGCGUGUUGUGGCUGACAGGGGCAGUCACUUGCCCAGAAGAGGCCAGGAACUCAUUGCUCAGCAAUGGUGGUGAUGUGCCACUGGCAUCCAAGAAGGGAGCACCUGCAGAGAGACCCCAAAGAGGUUUGGAGGAGAAGGAGGGCAAGAGGGGCUGCAGGCCCAGAGCAGAGGUCCCCCUCAGGCAGCACCUCAGCUGGAGCAGAGACACUCCUGUAGCCCAGGGAAGGGCCUGUGCCAAGACAGGGAGAAGGGGAAGGAGGGAGGAGUGGACAGGGGAGGCUUGGAGGAACCCACCACAGACCACUCCACCCCUAUGCCCCUUAGUGUGAUUGGGGAAAAGGGAGGAAAGGCUUGGUUUUUUCAUUUCUUACCAUUCAAACCUAUUUUAAUUGACAAUACAUGUAAUUUUCCCCAUUAUAUGUCUGGUUUGCCUGUGACAGUCAUGGGUCACUGAUGUCCCUGUCUUAAUCACAACCCAUGAGUUUUUCCAUCUUCUCUUGCUCAGUAAGAGUGAGAGAGCAACUGGAGGGUUGGGGCUCUUGCCACAGGGAGGACCCAGCUGUGCAAUCUCAGGCUGCAGGUGCUCCUGGGGCUCCUUUUCUGCAGGUCUGUGCUGAUGAAGCACCUCUGUGGCCAAGGGAAGGAGCUGCAGCAGGAGGUCAGCUUGCUGUGGAGACACACAGAUGAAGAAAAGGAGGCUGACUGGAUGCUCUUCUGGAUACAAGGGAAGCCCGACCCUCCAGCUGAAGGAGGGACAGGCAGUCUCUGCUUAUUGGAUUGUAAAACAGAGAAUGGUCCAUUCUGCGUGCAAGAAGCCAAGUAAAGGUGUCAUGGAUGAUCAAGGGGUGUUGCCGCCUGUUAGUUUACCUUCAUUAAGUAUGUUGUUCACCUUCGUUGAGUUUAGAGUUGGUUUGCCCCAGUUACUCCCCACUAUCCCGAUAUAGUUUGUUCCCAGGUGCCUGUCAUUGUAAACCUCUCCCCUCUUUCCAGAUUGUUCCCCAUCCAUCACUUUGGUCCUACCCCCAAGCCUUAUCAAUCUAUGUACACCACACCUUUUGUUCUGGUUCCUUCCCUGCUCAUCAUCCCUUACUCGAUGCCCUAUUUGUUGUAUGGCUAUCCUCCCUCCCCCAAGUCCCUACCAUUGGAUUUGUGUAUUGUAACCCCUUCCCACAACACCUCCCCUGCUGCCAUAUUAUUGGUUGUUGUAUGAGCCGCCCACGGGCUUUAAAAUCUGGCGCACAGAGGUGCCCAGGGUCUCGGCUCGGACUUUCUCCUCGAGAUCCCAGCCCUGUCCCUCAUCGCCUUCUCCCUGCACCUGCUGGAAUAAACUUGUUCCUGGGAAAUUGGA
Non-coding RNA from Cyanistes caeruleus (blue tit), 5773 nucleotides. Lineage: Eukaryota; Metazoa; Chordata; Aves; Passeriformes; Paridae. The record is from RefSeq and is a predicted model, not a curated record.